This 290-nucleotide ribosomal RNA is filed under the name uncultured bacterium. RNAcentral describes it as "partial 16S ribosomal RNA". It matches the Rfam family "Bacterial small subunit ribosomal RNA", at positions 773 to 1060 of the family's 1533-position model. The record is from RNAcentral.
GUGGAUUAGAUACCCUGGUAGUCCACGCCGUAAACGAUGAGCGCUAGUCGUCGCGGGUAUUGACCCCUGCGGCAACGAAGUUAACGCAUUAAGCGCUCCGCCUGGGGAGUACGGCCGCAAGGCUAAAACUCAAAGGAAUUGACGGGGGCCCGCACAAGCGGUGGAGCAUGUGGUUCAAUUCGACGCAACGCGCAGAACCUUACCUGGGUUAAAUCCACCGGAACCCUGCAGAGAUGUGGGGGUGCUCGCAAGAGAGCCGGUGAGAAGGUGCUGCACGGCCGUCGCCAACU